RNAcentral lists this long non-coding RNA (715 nucleotides) under Parus major (Great Tit). RNAcentral describes it as "lncRNA (ENSPMJG00000003325.1)". The record is from RNAcentral. Lineage: Eukaryota; Metazoa; Chordata; Aves; Passeriformes; Paridae.
CCUGAAGCUGCUCCUGUGAUCCCAGCUCUGAGCCCUUAGAAGGGCUUUUGAGUAAAAGUCCAGCUCUCUGAGGUGACUCAGAAGAAAAAGACAGAGAUUUCAUAAUAGAUCUCUCAGAAGGUUUUAAUCAGCUCCUUCCUCCAAUAAAUGCCAUAACAAAUAGCUCAGGAUACAGAGAAAAGAGAGGGUUUUAUCCCUGAGGGCUGGGGGCAGGGCAAAGGGGAAGAACCAAUGUGACACCUAGAAUCGACGUAGGCUGCAAGCAUGCCGGGAGGUGACUUCUUUUCCCCACCACAACUAGGGGCUAUUAACCAGGGUUUCUCCCCAAGGGGGCGGGUGGCAAACUGAAUCUUAAGGGUUGCCACUCCAGGGGGGAGUGGUUACCCUGCUGGUCAGCUCACUGCCUCCUACAGCUGUGGAGUGCAGAAUCGAAUUGCUUUUUAUGGACACAAGUUGGUUGUGUGCUCUGAAACUCAUUUUAUUUGCUCACUUAACAUCUGAAAACAUAAUUUUGACGAAAAGUGAAGAGUACUCAUCAUCUGCUGGUCUUCCAAGACAAGAAGCAACCUGCAGUCAGAAGGAAGAAGGGACUGAAUUCACUCCAAAAGUAUUUCUCCGGGAUCUUUUUUCAAGUACUGUGGAGCUCAUGAAUUCCAACUACAGCUGGGACUCUGGCGCUUGUACAAAGACACUGCAGCUCUUUCAGUUGGAAUGA